UUUUGUACUGUAGGGGAUUGGCCAGGAAAUUUGAAUUGAAGACAAAUAUCAGAUUACACAGAACUGUAGUGUUGUCUAUCUCAGGUGUGAUGUUGUGGUAGCAUAGAACUUACUCAGACCAGGACAGGGAAAUUUGUUUACUAGAACUGCAAGCACGUUCAUAUUACAAUGAAUAACCACAUGACACUAUACUUCAGUUUCAGGGAACAUACCAAAAUUAAGAUAGUCAUGCUAUUGAUGUCACAGUCCAACAUAUCAUAGCCAGAGCAACACUGGAGCAGCCCCGAUGGGUUGCACGGUCUUCAGCUGUUGCUUUUUAUGAGGUUACUUUUCAGCUGAAAAUACCUGUGAUUAGUUCUCCUGCUUCUCUUCGUAGCAGAGUAUGAUCUUUGUGUGCACACGAGAGGGCCUAAUCCGGCAGCACAAAGUACCUACUAUUUUGGUGGCCAGAAACUCGGAUUUUACUUUCACUCAUUGGUUGCACCGGAGAGGGGACCUGGACCUCCGGGUUGCAACGCGUCAGCUGUGAACCGUUUCCUGGUGCUGCAUGAAAGUACUGGAGUUUCAGCAGCAUAGUAACAAGCCGAUGCCAGCACCAGAGCCCUGACUGGAGGCUGGGAGUUUGUCAGGGGUGGAGGGUGCUGUAAAUGCACCACACACCCCAAAACCCACGUUGCUGCCGCUCCAACCCGCUGGGAGGGAGACAGCGCGCCUGCGCCACACAGUUGCCCCGGUAAUGGUUGCCAAGCAGCAGCGGCGGCGGCGGCAGCGGCAGUGGACAUGGCGGCCAACGAGUCGGACUUCCUGGAGAGGGUGGGUGAACUUCAGCGGCAGUUGCACGCCAGUGAACGUAAACGGCUGGAGCUUGAAAAGAACCUUUUGGUAUGCAGCAAGGCAGAUCAGUGGAAGCUAAGACAUGCCCAAUUGAAAAGUUAUUUGAAAGAAGUGCGUGAAAGGGAGAGAAAAGCCCAACUUCGCAACCAACAGCUGCUCAAAGAUUUCGGGAGUAUUGAAGCACAGAUCUCAGCAUUAACUACAAGUUUAGAUACAUGGAAACAAAUGAAGAUGGAAUAUGAAAAACAGAUGGAAAUAUUACUUCCAGUUUGGAGGGAGAAAUUAAAAACUCAAGGGAGGGAAAAGGAAGAAAUCUUGGAACAGAAAAGAAAUUCAUCAGGUCAAACCAGCACGACUGUCAGCAAAAACCUGUCAGUGGGAUUAUAUCACACUGCCACUCACUUCAUGGGCCAGCAAACUUCAGAGACCACAGAUAGAACAUGUUCAAGUCCACAACAAAACCAUUACCAACCCAUGGAGAGCUUUUUAUCUCCUCAGCCGAACAGACAGGUGGCACCGGUGACAGCAAAGCAGAGUAAUUCAGUGAUGGACAACUUGAAGUUACUCACAUCAAGCACAGGAAGGCAAGACUUCCAAACUGUUUCUGACAUAAUUGACGGGAAGACAGGGCUUCCAGGCAGUGAAGUAAUGCCACUCAUUCCCAUCAUCUCUUCUAAACCAGCAAGAUGUAACAAUGAAGGGACAGAAAUUAAUAAGAAUAUUAUAGGAAAAGGUUCAGUUGGCAGUUCAGAAUUAGCUUUAUCUGUGGCUCAGUUAGAGCCCAUUAAGAAAGAAAUGAAAGAAGGCACAGUGCAGAAUGAUGUUAAGAAUCACCUGACAGUUGAAGAUAAAAUUCCUAACAAUCCUGCUGCAUGUGUACAGACCCCUGAGCAGUUUCAGAGAUUGUCCAUGGAUCCAGUCCAACUCGCUGGCAGUUCUGACAUGACCCUGAAGGGAAACAGCAUUUUUCAAUUAAGUAAUACUUUCUUUGAUUCAACAUUGACCCAGGAUCUGAAUAAGGAUGCAACAAAAGCACAGAGACCAAGCCAAGAUGUGCAGAGGCUUGCAGAUGAAGUAUACAAUUCUGAAAGUGACAUCAGUAGUUCUGGUAGCAGUGAAGAAUUGCAGCUGAAGGAAUAUCUCGAUGACACUUAUAACUUCAUUCAAUCUCCUAAAACAGCUGUAAGUGAUGAUCUGGAAAAGACCAAUGAGGCACCUUUUACCAAAGAUGAAAGCACUUCAGUUUCAAUAAAGCAACACAGUGUGCCUUCCUUAACUCAGCCAUCAGUAUCAGACUGUGGCAGUUCUGCAAAUGCUGAUCUUCACGGAGAACUAUGUGGGUCCGCAGCACAGUCUCUGAAUGAUGAAGGGUGCCUUUUAUUUGAAGGAUUUUGUCACUUACUUCAGUCAAUAGAAGAUGCUGUUGGGGGAACAAAGACUACCUAUUCAGAGCUGUAUCAGACUACUGCAAUAAGUAGUGAAAAACUGAAGGAAAUCACAAGGAUCUGCAAUAGGAAAGGCAGUUUGAACAAGGAAAGCCUAGAAGCCUGUGGAGCAGUAGUUCUUCACCAUUUUAAGACAUUAUUAAGGAGUACUUCAAAUCCCUGUUUGUUUUCUGAUGAGAUUUUGAAGAAGGACUGGGAAACACUUAAUGAAGUUAAUGAAAGCUUGUCAAAUUUACCUGGUGAUUCUGCCACACUCUGGAAGCAUUGGUAUUCACAUGUUCUUUCUUUGUUGGAGCAUCAAGCACUGAGUACAGAUGAGAUAGCAGAGAUAUUUGGACCUUUAUUUGUUGCAGAGGACAGUAACUCAAAAAAGGCAAUAGCAUUAUUGAAGAAAAUCCUUUCAAAAGCAAUUGAAACCCAGUCUAUUCAAAGUGAUGACUCAUCAUGCAGUUUAUCAUCUAUUCUCAAUAACAGUGCAGAAAUUAAUGCAACAAAUCCUGUACCCUGGCUUUUUCAGGAUAAAACAAAACAGCAAGAAACAAGAGCAUAUAAACUUUUGAAACAAUCGGCAAUGCAACAGAAUAGGAAGGACGAUUCAGACUUGCAUUCACCAGAUAAAAAGAACCUGAAAUACACCAAAAAGAUGAAAAACGAUAAUGAUGGUGAUAAUUGUGAAACUGACUCGAGUGAGGAAAGUUCACAUUUAAAUUUCAAAAUUACAGAAAAGGAAAAGGGCCCGAAGCAAAAGUUUGGGCACCCUGCAUGUUAUCCCUAAGAUUUCUGUGAAUAAUGGAGACAAUUUAAUGCUACUUGGUGCCAAUUGAAGGGUGCAGAAACAAACAUGAGGGAAUUAAUCCAGCAAAAUCUAAAGCUUUUUGGGGUGAAUCUGAUGACAGUGCAACUGAUAUUGAAGCAAUUCUUCACCCAAAAACUUCAGAAGUGCAAAAUGAUGAAGAUGACUUUGAU
Hypanus sabinus (Atlantic stingray) is the source of this 3245-nucleotide RNA transcript. It is a transcript of the gene named kizuna centrosomal protein, with no coding region annotated. Lineage: Eukaryota; Metazoa; Chordata; Chondrichthyes; Myliobatiformes; Dasyatidae. The transcript has 16 exons. The record is from RefSeq and is a predicted model, not a curated record.